UUGAAUAAAAGUCAAAAAGAGACAAAUUAUUGUUAAUAAUUUUAAUGAGAUUAUACUCUUGUUCA
This 65-nucleotide transfer RNA is filed under the name Aacanthocnema dobsoni. Its description in RNAcentral is "tRNA-Asn". The record is from RNAcentral. Lineage: Eukaryota; Metazoa; Arthropoda; Insecta; Hemiptera; Triozidae.